GGGAUUCCCUUAUGAGUCCUCCAUAGAGAACUGUUUCACUGGCAUACAGGACCACCACUACAACUUCCUGGAUGUUUUUUUGAGCUGAUUUUCUUCAGUACUUUAUAAAUGGCUCAAAACCUCAGCCAUUUAAGGGAGGUUUCUUGGAGCGCCUGCUUGCGCUCUUCAGCAUGUGGGACGUGGACGUGUGGGAGCCUGCAGCAGAGCUGUACUUCACAGUGCUUAUUGAUUACCUUACAGAGCUUGCUGAAGUACUCUUCACUCAGCCUCUGGAGCUCUACAGUGACCCAGCAGCCUUAGCCACCACAGUUCAGCGACUCCUCAA
This is a long non-coding RNA of Hemibagrus wyckioides, 325 nucleotides long. RefSeq lists it as uncharacterized. The record is from RefSeq and is a predicted model, not a curated record. NCBI's taxonomy places the organism in Eukaryota, Metazoa, Chordata, Actinopteri, Siluriformes, Bagridae. The transcript is spliced from 4 exons.